GAAAAUCCUGGAGAACAGAGUGGAAGAAACGCGUAUUCCACAUUUCCUGUUGAUUUUCUUUCCUCCCUAAACACUGACCUCCCGCAGUCUUCACUAGCAGGGUAACAGAAGCAAAUCAUCAGUGCCUGUCUUUGAACUUGAUGAAACUGUCUCAGCCUCAUGACCUGUGGUACUAGACAGAGACCACAACACCUUGUCUAUCCAGAGUGUGGGAGCACUGUGUGCAGUUAGCUCCUGGAGGCUUGUCCUCAGUAGGCUUAGGGCAUGAGGAGCCCUGGAAAGCCCAGGACCCCAUGGAGGGCCCUGGAGAAACAGCACCUGUGGCUGAGGGGUUCACAGGCCCAGCGAGAUCCACUCAGGUGAGGUCACCUGUAGAGGUCAUGCUGCGGAGUCCCGAGUCCCUGAUUAUAUUCAAGACGUGGAGCUCUCUUUUUCCCGUCCUGCUUUCUUUCCAGAAGUGCCUCAGAUGCAUCCUCCCCUUCUCUUUUCUCCACAUGAAGACGUCACUGACCAUCUUCUCUGGUUUGCUUUCCAACACCGAGCACCAAGUGCUUCAAAGGUCAUGGUGCCCUGGGGCCGAGAGCUACUUAUGUGGGCAUUUAUAACCAAAUAAAUAUUGAAAUGGCCCACAAAGCAAAUGUUAGUGGUAACCAACAGCGGUAAAACUGGGUACAUGGGACCCUGAACCUUCUUGAAUAUUCCCCAUGAGACCCUGGGCCGACCUUCGGGCUUUCCAGUGUGCUCAGAAAAUCCUCCGUGGCUCCCAGCCCCAGCUUAGUCUUUCAACGGUCCUCGGACUGAAGCAAGAGACAGGGAAGGAAUUGUCCAAGGUUUUCCAGCAUGCUGAGAACACUUACCAUGGUGGAGCCUGGCACGUACUGGCUCUUUGAUGCAUGUGUAUUGGUCUCAAGUAGCCAGAAGCAUCUCCUCUGAGAGCCCUUGCCCUCCAGUUUAAAUGGCAAAUGGAAGGGAAUGGGUUCUGGAAGGCCCCAGGUGGGCUGGGGUGGGUUCUGGAGACCAUCUUCCAACUCCUGUUCAGGAGGAGGGUUGGUCAGAUCAGCUCUGUGGCCACCUGGGCUCUGGAGGGGCGAGAUACGGGCAGGUGCGGCCACAGGAGGGAGAGCACCAUGUGCGGGGGAAGCCCACAGCUGGAACCAAAAGGCCCCAGGAGGGAUCCUGGCUCUGACAUCUCCCAGCCGUGUGGCCUUGGGCAAGGUCCCUGACUUGGACCUCAGCCUCCUCAUCUGUAAAACAGGCAGAACAGUAAUACCGACCUUGUAGGUUGUAUAGAGUUCAUAUACAUCAAGCACUUACCACAGUGCCUGGCGGACCGCAUGCCCUAAACACACAAUCCGUGAAAUGAAUCCAUCAGCAAGCAGCUGCUAGGGGCAGUGUGGGGCAGAGAGGCAGCUGCCUGCUGGAACUGGCUGACAGGAGGAUGAGUGUGUGGCAGGAGGAACGCUCUGCACAGAGGACACUAGGUAGCGUCACCUGUCUCUUACCCUGUGUCUCCACUGGAAUGGAAUGUCAGACUCGCACCAUGCAUUCCUUUCCCUGCCAAAACGCCUCCUCUUAGCAGUGAGCAAGAAAGUUGUUCGAGUGGAUGAAGCCAAAAGCCCAUUUGGCAAGAGUGCUGUUUUGGAAAAUGCUUAGCGGUGUGGGUUGGGAUGAGGUUUUCUGUGCCUUUCCAUUAUUUCUUCAGCUUCAUGUAACCCUGACUGAGCAAUGCUCAGCAGAGUGAAGGCUGGGCAGCAGAUGGACAAGAUUUUCUCAAACUCCUUUUUAAGCCAAUUUCAAAAUAGAGAGAGGGAAAAAUCCUUGUUUUCUCUUUUCGGUUUUGAGAGGUUUCAUAUGCAGACACAAUUUUAAAUUUUAUUUUUUUUGCCCCCAAUGAGAUGUUUGGAGAUGGUGGUACUAGAACAGGAAGGAAUUUAUAAGUAUUGGGGAAUUUUUCAUCCCAAUUCCCAUAUCCUCCUAUAAUUCAAGGAGUGAAUGGGUAGUGUUUUUGUUUUUGUGAGAGGGGUGGCGGAGGGUAGAGAGAGAAAGAGAGAGAGACAGAGAGAGAUUACAUAGAGGUGUCCAAAAUGAACACAGUAAAAACCAGUUUUGAUUAAUUCUGCAAUAUUAAGUAGGCAGCCAAAAAUUUUGGUCUGCUUAAUUCUUAGCUCAUCUAAGUCUCCAGUUGACUGAUUGAUUGAUUGAAUGACUUAUUCAACAUGCGCUAGCCAGACACU
Long non-coding RNA from Homo sapiens (human), 2234 nucleotides. Ensembl annotates it as long intergenic non-protein coding RNA 323. The record is from Ensembl. NCBI's taxonomy places the organism in Eukaryota, Metazoa, Chordata, Mammalia, Primates, Hominidae.